UUUUUUUUACAAAGUUGUGACUGCCUUUAUCUCGGAUGGCAGCGUACAAACUAAAAAAAGAAAACGAAGAACAACUGUUACAGGAGAAGUUAAUGAAAUAGCUGUGCUAGCAGCUGUUCACCACAACCCACAGAUGAGUCUACAUUCACAAACCAUGGUGGCGUUAAUCGACAUAACAUGCAUUACUGGAGUGUAGAAAAUCCCCACUGGUUACGACAAGUUAAACAUCAACGUCCUUAGUCGGUUAACGUUUGGUGUGGAAUCAUAGGGAACAGACUCAUUGGUCCUUAUUUUAUUGAAGCAUGACGGUUGCCCAGCGC
Molecule: long non-coding RNA, 320 nt
Organism: Harpegnathos saltator (Jerdon's jumping ant)
Lineage: Eukaryota; Metazoa; Arthropoda; Insecta; Hymenoptera; Formicidae
Exons: 3
Source: RefSeq, a predicted model, not a curated record